RNAcentral lists this ribosomal RNA (657 nucleotides) under Bacillus pumilus. Its description in RNAcentral is "bacterial SSU rRNA". It matches the Rfam family "Bacterial small subunit ribosomal RNA", at positions 557 to 1215 of the family's 1533-position model. The record is from RNAcentral. Lineage: Bacteria; Bacillati; Bacillota; Bacilli; Caryophanales; Bacillaceae.
GGCGUAAGGGCUCGCAGGCGGUUUCUUAAGUCUGAUGUGAAAGCCCCCGGCUCAACCGGGGAGGGUCAUUGGAAACUGGGAAACUUGAGUGCAGAAGAGGAGAGUGGAAUUCCACGUGUAGCGGUGAAAUGCGUAGAGAUGUGGAGGAACACCAGUGGCGAAGGCGACUCUCUGGUCUGUAACUGACGCUGAGGAGCGAAAGCGUGGGGAGCGAACAGGAUUAGAUACCCUGGUAGUCCACGCCGUAAACGAUGAGUGCUAAGUGUUAGGGGGUUUCCGCCCCUUAGUGCUGCAGCUAACGCAUUAAGCACUCCGCCUGGGGAGUACGGUCGCAAGACUGAAACUCAAAGGAAUUGACGGGGGCCCGCACAAGCGGUGGAGCAUGUGGUUUAAUUCGAAGCAACGCGAAGAACCUUACCAGGUCUUGACAUCCUCUGACAACCCUAGAGAUAGGGCUUUCCCUUCGGGGACAGAGUGACAGGUGGUGCAUGGUUGUCGUCAGCUCUUGUCGUGAGAUGUUGGGUUAAGUCCCGCAACGAGCGCAACCCUUGAUCUUAGUUGCCAGCAUUUAGUUGGGCACUCUAAGGUGACUGCCGGUGACAAACCGGAGGAAGGUGGGGAUGACGUCUAAUCAUCAUGCCCCUUAUGACCUGGGCU